GAGGGUGUAGCUCAGUGGGUGAGCACAUGCUUGGCAUGUACGAGGUCCUGGGUUCAAUCCCCUGUACCUCCA
This 72-nucleotide transfer RNA is filed under the name Camelus bactrianus (Bactrian camel). It matches the Rfam family "tRNA". From Rfam's summary of the family: Transfer RNA (tRNA) molecules are approximately 80 nucleotides in length. Their secondary structure includes four short double-helical elements and three loops (D, anti-codon, and T loops). The record is from Rfam by way of RNAcentral. Lineage: Eukaryota; Metazoa; Chordata; Mammalia; Artiodactyla; Camelidae. RNAcentral also lists the same sequence under 2 other names.